RNAcentral lists this ribosomal RNA (464 nucleotides) under uncultured Klebsiella sp. RNAcentral describes it as "bacterial SSU rRNA". It matches the Rfam family "Bacterial small subunit ribosomal RNA", at positions 338 to 795 of the family's 1533-position model. The record is from RNAcentral. Lineage: Bacteria; Pseudomonadati; Pseudomonadota; Gammaproteobacteria; Enterobacterales; Enterobacteriaceae.
CCUACGGGGGGCAGCAGUGGGGAAUAUUGCACAAUGGGCGCAAGCCUGAUGCAGCCAUGCCGCGUGUGUGAAGAAGGCCUUCGGGUUGUAAAGCACUUUCAGCGGGGAGGAAGGCGUUAAGGUUAAUAACCUUGGCGAUUGACGUUACCCGCAGAAGAAGCACCGGCUAACUCCGUGCCAGCAGCCGCGGUAAUACGGAGGGUGCAAGCGUUAACCGGAAUUACUGGGCGUAAAGCGCACGCAGGCGGUCUGUCAAGUCGGAUGUGAAAUCCCCGGGCUCAACCUGGGAACUGCAUUCGAAACUGGCAGGCUAGAGUCUUGUAGAGGGGGGUAGAAUUCCAGGUGUAGCGGUGAAAUGCGUAGAGAUCUGGAGGAAUACCGGUGGCGAAGGCGCCCCCCUGGACAAAGACUGACGCUCAGGUGCGAAAGCGUGGGGAGCAAACAGGAUUAGAUACCCUGUAGUC